This 482-nucleotide ribosomal RNA is filed under the name uncultured bacterium. Its description in RNAcentral is "partial 16S ribosomal RNA". It matches the Rfam family "Bacterial small subunit ribosomal RNA", at positions 30 to 507 of the family's 1533-position model. The record is from RNAcentral.
AUUGAACGCUGGCGGCAUGAUUUACACAUGCAAGUCGAACGGUAACAGGCCGCAAGGUGCUGACGAGUGGCGAACGGGUGAGUAAUGCAUCGGAACGUGCCCAGUCGUGGGGGAUAACUACUCGAAAGAGUAGCUAAUACCGCAUACGAUCUAUGGAUGAAAGCGGGGGACCGUAAGGCCUCGCGCGAUUGGAGCGGCCGAUGUCAGAUUAGGUAGUUGGUGGGGUAAAGGCUCACCAAGCCAACGAUCUGUAGCUGGUCUGAGAGGACGACCAGCCACACUGGGACUGAGACACGGCCCAGACUCCUACGGGAGGCAGCAGUGGGGAAUUUUGGACAAUGGGCGCAAGCCUGAUCCAGCAAUGCCGCGUGCAGGAAGAAGGCCUUCGGGUUGUAAACUGCUUUUGUACGGAACGAAACGGCUCUGGUUAAUACCCGGGGCUAAUGACGGUACCGUAAGAAUAAGCACCGGCCAACUACGUG